Molecule: ribosomal RNA, 497 nt
Filed under: uncultured bacterium
Lineage: Bacteria
Description: partial 16S ribosomal RNA
Rfam family: Bacterial small subunit ribosomal RNA
Source: RNAcentral
GCUGCCCUCUUUCUUCGUGCCUAAUACAUGCAAGUCGAGCGAACAGACGAGGAGCUUGCUCCUCUGACGUUAGCGGCGGACGGGUGAGUAACACGUGGAUAACCUACCUAUAAGACUGGGAUAACUUCGGGAAACCGGAGCUAAUACCGGAUAAUAUAUUGAACCGCAUGGUUCAAUAGUGAAAGACGGUUUUGCUGUCACUUAUAGAUGGAUCCGCGCCGCAUUAGCUAGUUGGUAAGGUAACGGCUUACCAAGGCAACGAUGCGUAGCCGACCUGAGAGGGUGAUCGGCCACACUGGAACUGAGACACGGUCCAGACUCCUACGGGAGGCAGCAGUAGGGAAUCUUCCGCAAUGGGCGAAAGCUUGACGGAGCAACGCCGCGUGAGUGAUGAAGGUCUUCGGAUCGUAAAACUCUGUUAUUAGGGAAGAACAAAUGUGUAAGUAACUAUGCACGUCUUGACGGUACCUAAUCAGAAAGCCACGGCUAACUACGUG